This 322-nucleotide ribosomal RNA is filed under the name uncultured eukaryote. RNAcentral's name for it is "partial 18S ribosomal RNA". It matches the Rfam family "Eukaryotic small subunit ribosomal RNA", at positions 1470 to 1796 of the family's 1831-position model. The record is from RNAcentral.
CCCUUAGAUGUUCUGGGCCGCACGCGUGCUACACUGAGUGGAUCAGCGGGUCAGGUUGCGCGAAAGUGUUUCCUCAUCUUUAAAUCCGCUCGUGAUGGGGAUUGACGGUUGCAAUUUUCCGUCAUGAACGAGGAAUACCUUGUAAGCGCGGGUCAUCAUCCCGCGCUGAAUACGUCCCUGCCCUUUGUACACACCGCCCGUCGCUCCUACCGAUUGAGUGGUCCGGUGAGGCUUUGGGAUCUGAGCGGAAAGAGCGUUUCGCUGUUUCUGCCCGGAAAACUCAGUCGAACCUUAUCAUUUAGAGGAAGGAGAAGUCGUAACA